This 253-nucleotide ribosomal RNA is filed under the name uncultured bacterium. RNAcentral describes it as "partial 16S ribosomal RNA". It matches the Rfam family "Bacterial small subunit ribosomal RNA", at positions 524 to 776 of the family's 1533-position model. The record is from RNAcentral.
UACGAAGGGGGCUAGCGUUGUUCGGAAUUACUGGGCGUAAAGCGCACGUAGGCGGGCAUUUAAGUCAGGGGUGAAAUCCCGGGGCUCAACCCCGGAACUGCCUUUGAUACUGGGUGUCUUGAGUGUGGAAGAGGUGAGUGGAAUUCCGAGUGUAGAGGUGAAAUUCGUAGAUAUUCGGAGGAACACCAGUGGCGAAGGCGGCUCACUGGUCCACAACUGACGCUGAGGUGCGAAAGCGUGGGGAGCAAACAGG